Lycium barbarum (goji berry) is the source of this 1476-nucleotide long non-coding RNA. RefSeq lists it as uncharacterized. Lineage: Eukaryota; Viridiplantae; Streptophyta; Magnoliopsida; Solanales; Solanaceae. The record is from RefSeq and is a predicted model, not a curated record. The transcript has 5 exons.
AUAAAAGGAGUCUUAUCACAUAAGUAGAAAAAGAACAGAACAACAUCAGCCAAAUAUGUCCUAGAGAGAGAACGGCAAGAUUAGGAAACCCUAAAAUGGCUAGUGAAGAGCUCAAGCUAAGAUCUGAAAUUCAUCCUUCUCGCCGAUGAUAGUUCUGAUUGAUGUUGCUCCUGGGGUAUCUUAGAGCCUUAAUUUUACCUUGGAUAAACCAAAUGAUAUCUUUGCAUUUGAUGCAUAAUGGAUUGAAGAUUACCCAUCUUUGCUGAGGUUUGGUGGUUGUCUGUGACCCACAUCCGGCUAUUGUUUCUUUGCUGAUAUGGAAGCUUGAUUUGUAUGUUGCUGCUUCUUCAUUGAUUUGGUUUUAUCACUUUGCUAUUGCAUCUUCUCCUUCUCUUCUUCCUUUUCUUUUUUUUGGUCUAAAUUCUGGGUGGAUACUCCAACAUCCAUCCAUGUCAUGCCCUUGUAAUUUACAAUGUGUGCAAUACUUUGGCAAAUAGUCAUACUGAAUUUUUUGCCACUUUGAUUGCACUUCCCCAGUAUCCUCAUCAAGACAAUUGAUUUGGAUCCUUUUUGCCUUCUCUCAUCCUUUAUUAUUGCGUGGGUUUACAGACUCAUACCAUAUCAACUCUGUUUUACACAUAUUAUCAAAGACUAAGUUCUCCCGGUUUCACUGAGUAAUUUUCAAGUUCCGAAAGUCGAUCACAAAAAUGGUGGAUGGACUGCAAGGAGGAGAAGAAUUCGAGAUGAUAAUACAUUUUGGAUGCACUUGUAUUCAAGAAGGCUUGAUUUAAAAGUUGGAUUUAUUUUGUUUAAUUUGGUGUGGACCAUGAAAUUGACAAUGAUCGACUAGCCAUCCUAAUGAAGACUUGUUAAUCGAAUUUCCGUACAACUUCAACAAAAUACUUCUUUCAUUCAACAAUAUAAGCUUUCGGGCUUUGUGGGAUUAAUUGAUUGGAUACCCGAGACCCAUAAUCUUUCCUAGGAACAGCUUCUACGACGUUCUCGCAAGAGCGAGGCACAGCGAGCCAAACCAUUUUAUCCUUGCGGCCCUCUUCUGCGUCGAGCUUCAAAUUCUGUGACUCAUAAGCCCUCCGUAUCUAAAGAUAGAUGGCUGUGUGCGGCUAUGAAAAGGCUGAAGUUAUCUAUCUAUAUCUAUAUUAUAUUAGAAGCAUGAACUCCUUAACUUGAAAGUUAAAUUACUUAAAUACCCCUAUAGAAACCUAAUUAUCCUAUUUAAUUAAAAAUAAAUAAACUGCCCCAAACCCACGCUUGAAUACAAACAAUGUGCCAUUUGAGACAAAAAAACUGCCCAAUACCACGCUUGGAUACAAAGUUGUGCUGCUUGAGAGACUAAACACUAAUUGAAACAUGAUUACAAACAUGAGUUCCAAUAUGGCAAUGUCUGAAAGUUCUCACAUUCUCCAUGUCUUUCUGGUGAAUAUAAAACAACAACAACAUACCCAGUAUAAUCCCAUA